Molecule: long non-coding RNA, 1727 nt
Filed under: Lathyrus oleraceus (garden pea)
Lineage: Eukaryota; Viridiplantae; Streptophyta; Magnoliopsida; Fabales; Fabaceae
Description: Pisum sativum (pea) long non-coding RNA (PSAT_LNC005295)
Source: RNAcentral
AAAAUCACCUUCAUCCAAUGUCGUUAACCACUAAACCUCCAUAGAAAAACCAGCCGCCGCCGAAUCUAACACCAUCCGAAAACCUUCCUCACCACCAUAAACUUCAUCAUCUUCAUCGCAACACAACCUCACCGCCACUGCGAAUCGCUUCCUUACCGUUCACCCUUGAAACCCUCCACCGUCAAAUCUUCACCUCAUCCGUAACUCUCCUUCGCCGUCAAACCUCCGCCAUCACUCCAAAUCGAAAACCCUCACCCUUCCGUCAUCACCAUCCGAAAAUCUCUCUCCGCCGUAACCCAUCAACAGACCCUUCUUCGCCGUCGCCGACACACUGUUACUCGGUUUCUCUACCCUUCGAAACUCCUUCGGAUUCGCCGCAUGCCAACGCUCUCUCCGUCACCGUACAACCUUUUUCCUGUGUGUCCACAUCGCAACAACAAAACUCAAGAUAGCAGUCACAAAAAGCUUUGUUGGUUUUGUUGACCAGAGGUUUGUAAGCAAGAUUGUAUGUUUUGAUUCAAAGUUGAAGACGAAUUCGGUUCCGGUUGCAAUCUCGUCGGAUUCCGUUUCACCAAAUACAAGAUGCAACAACAUGGUACAACAGCGGUGUCGACGGUAAUUUCUGGUCUUCGUGUGUUUCAUCGUUACAGAUCAUGUUCGGAUUUCCAUUUGGCUACACUGAUUUAUUUUGACAUUAACAAAACAUUGCAUUGCUUUGAUUCGGUUUAUGAUUAUAGAUUUAAGCUGUUCAGAUUUAAGUUGUUUUGAUUCGGUUUAUGAUUGUAGAUUUAAGCUGUUUAGAUUUAAGUUGUUUUGAUUCAGUUUAUGAUUGUGGAUUUAAGCUGUUUAGAUUUAAGUUAUUUUGAGUCGGUUUAUGAUUGUGGAUUUAAGCCGUUUAGAUUUAAUUUAGUUUCGGUAACAGGCAAUUUGUGAUUUAUUGGUUUGGUUUAUUGUUGAGCAUCACGCUGUUUAGGUUAUCAUUGGUUUUGUGCUGCAUUCGUUGGUUUAUUUUUCGAAUGUGAUGUUUUGAAGCGUUAAAUGCGUGUGUGAUUGCCGAAAAUUUCUGGCCAAUGCGAUUAUAACUAUUGCUACAAAUGAAUUUUGAUUUUUUUGCUGAGAUGUUUAUCCAUCGCAAAUGUUGAGGAUAGCCACUGUUGUUAUUCAUAUAUAUUGACUUAUGCUUCUCCUUUAUGCAUUCUGUUGGUUUCUUGGCAUGAUGAGUGGCCCCUGCGAUACUUUUUCAAAUUGGCUGAUCAAGGAUACAUUGUUCUUUUUUAUUCAUUUUCUGGGUGAAGGUUCUAAGCUUUGUUAAAAGUUAUGAUUAAAUUACCUUUUCUUAAAAAUUUUGUGAGGUAGUAACUGCGUUGCAAUAAUGACAAAUCAUUUCAAAAUUCAUAAAACAAAAACCAUUUAAUGACAAAUCAUUUCAAAUUUCAUAAAACAAAAAAACCAUUUCAUACAAAUCAUUUCAGAUUUCAUAAAACAAAAAAACCAUUUCAUACAAAUCAUUUCAGAUUUCAUAAAACAAAAACCAUUUCAUGCCAUCAUUUCAAAUUUCAUAAAACAAAAACCAUUUCAUGCAAUCAUUUCAAAUUUCAUAAAACAAAAACCAUUUCAUGCAAUCAUUUUCAAUUUUAUUCAAUAUCAAUUCAUCAAACCAAUUUCAAAAAGCACAAAUCAUACAAUUCUCGAUUUAAAUAUUGAGCCCAUUUUCAAAAUAAACCCCC